RNAcentral lists this transfer RNA (64 nucleotides) under Paroster macrosturtensis. RNAcentral's name for it is "tRNA-Leu". Lineage: Eukaryota; Metazoa; Arthropoda; Insecta; Coleoptera; Dytiscidae. The record is from RNAcentral.
UUGUUAUUUUGGCAGAUUAGUGCGAUGAAUUUAGAAUUCAAAAAUAUAAUUUUUAUUAUAGAUA